RNAcentral lists this ribosomal RNA (253 nucleotides) under uncultured bacterium. RNAcentral's name for it is "partial 16S ribosomal RNA". It matches the Rfam family "Bacterial small subunit ribosomal RNA", at positions 524 to 776 of the family's 1533-position model. The record is from RNAcentral.
GACAGAGGGUGCAAACGUUGUUCGGAAUUACUGGGCGUAAAGCGCGUGUAGGCGGACUUGCAAGUCAGAUGUGAAAUCCCCGAGCUCAACUCGGGAACUGCAUUUGAAACUGCCUGUCUUGAGUAGUGGAGAGGAAAGCAGAAUUCCUGGUGUAGAGGUGAAAUUCGUAGAUAUCAGGAGGAACACCGGUGGCGAAGGCGGCUUUCUGGACACUUACUGACGCUGAGACGCGAAAGCGUGGGGAGCAAACAGG